Molecule: ribosomal RNA, 465 nt
Filed under: uncultured bacterium
Lineage: Bacteria
Description: partial 16S ribosomal RNA
Rfam family: Bacterial small subunit ribosomal RNA
Source: RNAcentral
CCUACGGGUGGCAGCAGUGGGGAAUAUUGCGCAAUGGGCGAAAGCCUGACGCAGCGACGCCGCGUGAGGGAUGAAGGUCUUCGGAUCGUAAACCUCUGUCAGCAGGGAAGAACGGUCACUGUGCUAAUCAGCAGUGAAUUGACGGUACCUGCAAAGGAAGCACCGGCUAACUCCGGGCCAGCAGCCGCGGUAAUACGGAGGGUGCGAGCGUGAAACGGAAUUACUGGGCGUAAAGCGCUCGUAGGCGGUAUGUCAAGUCAAGGGUGAAAUCCCCGCGCUCAACGUGGGAACUGCCUUUGAAACUGGCAGACUGGAGUGUGUGAGAGGAUAGUGGAAUUCCAGGUGUAGGAGUGAAAUCCGUAGAUAUCUGGAGGAACAUCAGUGGCGAAGGCGACUAUCUGGCACAUAACUGACGCUGAGGAGCGAAAGCGUGGGUAGCAAACAGGAUUAGAUACCCCGGUAGUC